RNAcentral lists this small RNA (480 nucleotides) under Oryza sativa Japonica Group (Japanese rice). RNAcentral's name for it is "sRNA Os04g0616450". The record is from RNAcentral. Lineage: Eukaryota; Viridiplantae; Streptophyta; Magnoliopsida; Poales; Poaceae.
UGAGCUACUGUACUGAGCUUACCCAUUCGAAAAUAUAAAUCUUGUCUUCUUCAAGAGCAUCAUCAUAGUUUGGUCGGCCAGCUAAAGUCUCCAAUAAGACCACGCCAAAUGCAAAGACAUCAACUUUCUCGGUCAAACGACCUCUCAUAGCAUACUCAGGUGCAAGAUAACCACUAGAUAAAAGAAAAGCCAUAAAUCCCGUUAGCACAGGUACGAAAAUAAUUUGUAAACAUGAAGGUGCGAAAGAUGGAAUGAACUUACAAGGUACCAGCAACUUUUGUGCUAACAUGCGUCUUCUUGUCAUCAUAAAGUUUAGCUAGCCCAAAAUCUGAGAUCUUAGGAUUGAGAUAAGCGUCAAGUAAGACAUUACUGGCCUUGAUGUCCCUGUGCACAACACGGAUACUGGACUCUUCAUGAAGAUAGGCCAGACCUCUUGCAAUGCCUAAGCAUAUCCCAAAGCGUGCUGGCCAAUCUAUGUUC